GACGAACGCUGGCGGCGUGCUUAACACAUGCAAGUCGAACGGUAAGGCCCUUCGGGGUACACGAGUGGCGAACGGGUGAGUAACACGUGGGUGAUCUGCCCUGCACUUCGGGAUAAGCCUGGGAAACUGGGUCUAAUACCGGAUAGGACUCCGGACUGCAUGGUCUGGGGUGGAAAGCUUUUGCGGUGUGGGAUGGGCCCGCGGCCCAUCAGCUUGUUGGUGGGGUGAUGGCCUACCAAGGCGACGACGGGUAGCCGGCCUGAGAGGGUGACCGGCCACACUGGGACUGAGAUACGGCCCAGACUCCUACGGGAGGCAGCAGUGAGGAAUCUUCCCAAUGGGCGAAAGCCUGAUGGAGCAACGCCGCGUGCAGGAUGAAGGCCUUCGGGUCGUAAACUGCUUUUAUAAGUGAAGAAUAUGACGGUAACUUAUGAAUAAGCACCGGCUAACUACGUGCCAGCCGCCGCCGUAA
This 472-nucleotide ribosomal RNA is filed under the name uncultured bacterium. RNAcentral's name for it is "partial 16S ribosomal RNA". It matches the Rfam family "Bacterial small subunit ribosomal RNA", at positions 28 to 523 of the family's 1533-position model. The record is from RNAcentral.